GGGGGGGUUCAGCUGGGCUGCGGCCUGGUUAUUCCAGGGAGGUUUUCUUUUUUUUCUUUUCUGGUUUCUUUUCCAAAACAUUUUCCAAAUAGAAAUCUUGAAUGCAGAUAAAAUCAAACAAAAGGCAGCAACACAAAAUUAAAUAUGCACCAGCAUGAAAUGCACAACCAUGUUUUCUAAACUUAUAAUAAAUUUUAAUUUUGACCAAAACUAUUUUAUUCACU
This 224-nucleotide long non-coding RNA is filed under the name Sorghum bicolor (sorghum). RNAcentral describes it as "long non-coding RNA (SBIC_LNC008118)". Lineage: Eukaryota; Viridiplantae; Streptophyta; Magnoliopsida; Poales; Poaceae. The record is from RNAcentral.